AGAGUUUGAUCCUGGCUCAGAUUGAACGCUGGCGGCAGGCCUAACACAUGCAAGUCGAGCGGUAGAGAGAAGCUUGCUUCUCUUGAGAGCGGCGGACGGGUGGGUAAUGCCUAGGAAUCUGCCUGGUAGUGGGGGAUAACGUUCGGAAACGGACGCUAAUACCGCAUACGUCCUACGGGAGAAAGCAGGGGACCUUCGGGCCUUGCGCUAUCAGAUGAGCCUAGGUCGGAUUAGCUAGUUGGUGAGGUAAUGGCUCACCAAGGCGAUGAUCCGUAACUGGUCUGAGAGGAUGAUCAGUCACACUGGAACUGAGACACGGUCCAGACUCCUACGGGAGGCAGCAGUGGGGAAUAUUGGACAAUGGGCGAAAGCCUGAUCCAGCCAUGCCGCGUGUGUGAAGAAGGUCUUCGGAUUGUAAAGCACUUUAAGUUGGGAGGAAGGGCAGUAAAUUAAUACUUUGCUGUUUUGACGUUACCGACAGAAUAAGCACCGGCUAACUCUGUGCCAGCAGCCGCGGUAAUACAGAGGGUGCAAGCGUUAAUCGGAAUUACUGGGCGUAAAGCGCGCGUAGUGGUUUGUUAAGUUGGAUGUGAAAUCCCCGGGCUCAACCUGGGAACUGCAUUCAAACUGACUGACUAGAGUAUGGUAGNGGUGGUGGAAUUUCCUGUGUACCGG
This 675-nucleotide ribosomal RNA is filed under the name uncultured Pseudomonas sp. Its description in RNAcentral is "bacterial SSU rRNA". It matches the Rfam family "Bacterial small subunit ribosomal RNA", at positions 8 to 681 of the family's 1533-position model. Lineage: Bacteria; Pseudomonadati; Pseudomonadota; Gammaproteobacteria; Pseudomonadales; Pseudomonadaceae. The record is from RNAcentral.